GACGAACGCUGGCGGCGUGCUUAACACAUGCAAGUCGAGCGGUAAGGCCCUUUCGGGGGUACACGAGCGGCGAACGGGUGAGUAACACGUGGGUGACCUGCCCUCAGCUCUGGGAUAAGCCUGGGAAACCGGGUCUAAUACUGGAUAUGACUCCAUGACGCAUGUUGUGGGGUGGAAAGCCUUGUGCGGCUGAGGAUGGGCCCGCGGCCUAUCAGCUUGUUGGUGGGGUGAUGGCCUACCAAGGCGACGACGGGUAGCCGGCCUGAGAGGGCGACCGGCCACACUGGGACUGAGACACGGCCCAGACUCCUACGGGAGGCAGCAGUAGGGAAUUUUGGGCAAUGGGCGAAAGCCUGACCCAGCAACGCCGCGUGUGGGAUGAAGGCCCUCGGGUCGUAAACCACUGUCAGGAGGAAAGAAAAGUCGGCCGGGUAAUAUUCGUCGACCUGACGGUACCUCCAAAGGAAGCACCGGCU
Molecule: ribosomal RNA, 476 nt
Filed under: uncultured bacterium
Lineage: Bacteria
Description: bacterial SSU rRNA
Rfam family: Bacterial small subunit ribosomal RNA
Source: RNAcentral